GAAAUGCGAUAAGUAGUGUGAAUUGCAGAAUUCAGUGAAUCAUCGAAUCUUUGAACGCACAUUGCGCCCUUUGGUAUUCCUUAGGGCAUGCCUGUUCGAGCGUCAUCUAAACCUUCAAGCCCUGCUUGGUGUUGGGUGUUUGUCCCGUCUCCGCGCGUGGACUCGCCCCAAAGUGAUUGGCAGCCGGCGUACUGGUCCCGGAGCGCAGCACAUGUCGCGCAAACGAGUGCCUUGGUACGGCGGCGUCCAUAAGCCCCUCUCUCACGCUCUUGACCUCGGAUCAGGUAGGGAUACCCGCUGAACUUAAGC
This 309-nucleotide unclassified non-coding RNA is filed under the name plant metagenome. Its description in RNAcentral is "partial contains 5.8S ribosomal RNA, internal transcribed spacer 2, and large subunit ribosomal RNA". The stretch from base 1 to 105 matches the Rfam family "5.8S ribosomal RNA", at positions 50 to 154 of the family's 154-position model. The record is from RNAcentral.